UCCCUACGGGAGGCAGCAGUGAGGAAUAUUGGUCAAUGGGCGGGAGCCUGAACCAGCCAAGCCGCGUGAGGGAAGAAGGUACAGCGUAUCGUAAACCUCUUUUGUCAGGGAACAAAGGCGGGGACUAGUCCCCGGAUGAGGGUACCUGAAGAAAAAGCAUCGGCUAACUCCGUGCCAGCAGCCGCGGUAAUACGGAGGAUGCGAGCGUUAUCCGGAUUUAUUGGGUUUAAAGGGUGCGCAGGCGGCGUGUCAAGCAAGCGGUAAAAUAGCGGGGCUCAACCCCGUCGAGCCGUUUGAACUGGCGG
RNAcentral lists this ribosomal RNA (305 nucleotides) under uncultured bacterium. RNAcentral's name for it is "bacterial SSU rRNA". It matches the Rfam family "Bacterial small subunit ribosomal RNA", at positions 335 to 639 of the family's 1533-position model. The record is from RNAcentral.